This 753-nucleotide long non-coding RNA is filed under the name Phascolarctos cinereus (koala). RNAcentral describes it as "lncRNA (ENSPCIG00000015628.2)". Lineage: Eukaryota; Metazoa; Chordata; Mammalia; Diprotodontia; Phascolarctidae. The record is from RNAcentral.
CUCUGACAGGCCAGGAAUCAGCAGGACACUCCAGAGGUCAUUCUGGUCACCAGAAGGAUCCCCCAACCUUAUGCUCAGCUACAACUUCACAGGCCCUUGACUUCAAGUGGUCCCAAACAAGGGUCCCUGUAGUAUCUACAACCUAGAUGCCCAACAGAUAGGCAGCCUUUGCCCCAGGAUGGCAGUGAGGGCUCAUAGACCUCCCCAGGAAACGCUUUUGACUUUUACAUCUCUCAGAUUGUUAGCAAGUUAAUAAACCCAUCUUUUCUCUUGGUUCUUUCUCCCCACUGUUCCUAGAUCUCUCCUCUGGGGCCAAGAAGAACAUGGCCCAUGACUCAUCCACACGGCUAUUGUGUCUCCAGAUCCUUCCACCAGGCCUCAGACAGCCCCCUCUGGCCACUCUCCUAAAAUGGGGUGCCCAGGACAGAAUGCACCACUUUAGAUGGGCCGGGCCCUGGGAUUCUUUAAAUGCAGCCCGAAAGUGUUCAUUUGGGGACACCGAAGUCCAAAGAAAACAACGGGCGGCUCCCCUCUGCCCAGAGAAUCCAACACUCCAGCUGAAUGAUGGGAGGGAAUGGCCAAGCUCUCGCCUAGAUCCUGGGCACUCUCUGCUUUCUCCAGACCUCCUGGCAUUUCUUCCUUGUCCCUCCAGCAGCCCAAGGACCUAGGCAAAAGGCAGGCAGUGAAACAAACCGCUGAACAGAGAAGAGGUGAGCUCUGAGGGUCUGGGCUCCCGGGGUUCCUGAGGCCUGG